AUGCCACCCAGUGAGCCAGCAGCUUCUCACCUAAAAUACCCAGCCCAGAGCCUCACACAUCAGCUGUGUGUAGGAGGGUGGCAGACUAUGAUCUGUCCCCAACCCAGAGAAGCAGGCCUCAGAACUGAGAACAAAGAAUUUCUAGUAUUAAUUAAAAUGGUUUCAGGCGCCAGGAGAGCGCCCACAAGGCAAGCCUUGGCUUCAAGCACAGGACUUCUUGAAGGGCAGCAGCUGGCGACCAAGAUAGGACGGGGAGGAUCGGGCUGGAGGGACCAGGGCUGCUUCUGCUGGGCCCCACACUGGCUUAGACUAACAGCUUAAAGGGACAAACAUGCCAAAAAGAUCAGUUUUCUGAUAUUUUCUUUAUUAUUAAACAUAAAACAACAACACAAACAUUUCAAUACACAAGGAAGAGGACCGUAUGUGACCUGUGAAUUUCUCUUUCUAUUUUGAAAGUGUGAUUUAAACUGAAUGAUAACACUAUCUGGCUGGACCUGCGUUUCCUAACCUAAAAGGAUGUCAUCCCCUUGCCUGAACCUUGCUAAAAACUUAACAACGCAGCAGACUAACCCUAAAGAGGCCUCGCCUUAGACAAGACAGAAGCGCUGGCUACUUCCUUGCCCUCAUAUGGAUCAGCUGGGCCUCUCCAGCAGCCAGAGAGAGUCCUGGCCUCCAGAACCGUUCACACUGCCCAAUUCUUAUCAGGUACUCUCCCCUGGUCCCACUGACAUCUCAAACUGCAUCAAUACCAUGAUACCCCCCUCCCCCCUCCCCAAACAAACCCAGGCCAAAUCCAAGCUAGUCAAUGUUUCUGACUUGCCCCCACCUUUCCCACUCAAACUGCCACUACUCCAUGCUUUAUUAUUCUUGCCUAGGCUAGCAUAAAGCCCUCAGCUCUGAGGUGGGAAAGCCUGCAUUCAAAGCCUGUGACGCUUAUGAUCUGCGUGACGUUGGGCAAGUUACUUGGUUUCCCCUGGGCCUCAGUUUCAUCUGCACUUAAAAUCACUUCAAAGGAAACAGAAAGAGGAGUGGGAGUCUGGAAGGAGGGGAUGCCGUACAACUUGGGGGGCAUCUGUGAUGAGAAUCACUUGGAGAACUCCCAGUCAGGAAAUGCCUCCUCUCAGUGUGCAUGCUCUGGCAUCCAAGCCCUUUGGAACAAAAGCCAGGAGAGCCUAAUAAGGAUGCUUGAUCAUCUCGUCUGAGUGUUACAACAACUGGGGUCGAAACAGGAAGAAAUCAUUAGCCUCAUUUUACAAAUGAGGGAACUCAGAGAUGAAGUGACUUGCCCAACGUAACACAGUCAGUGAAGCAUCAGAUGUGA
This 1321-nucleotide long non-coding RNA is filed under the name Phascolarctos cinereus (koala). RNAcentral's name for it is "lncRNA (ENSPCIG00000035115.1)". The record is from RNAcentral. Lineage: Eukaryota; Metazoa; Chordata; Mammalia; Diprotodontia; Phascolarctidae.